RNAcentral lists this transfer RNA (76 nucleotides) under Turicibacter sanguinis. RNAcentral describes it as "tRNA-Val". It matches the Rfam family "tRNA". Rfam says of the family: Transfer RNA (tRNA) molecules are approximately 80 nucleotides in length. Their secondary structure includes four short double-helical elements and three loops (D, anti-codon, and T loops). The record is from RNAcentral. Lineage: Bacteria; Bacillati; Bacillota; Erysipelotrichia; Erysipelotrichales; Turicibacteraceae.
GGAGGAUAAGCUCAGCUGGGAGAGCAUCUGCCUUACAAGCAGAGGGUCGGCGGUUCGAGCCCGUCAUCCUCCACCA